UACGUAGGUGGCAAGCGUUGUCCGGAUUUACUGGGCGUAAAGGGCGUGCAGGCGGUUUGGUUAGUCUAGGGUGAAAGCUCCCGGCUUAACUGGGAGAGGUCCUUGGAUACUGGCAAACUUGAGGGAGGCAGAGGAAAGUGGAAUUCCCGGUGUAGUGGUGAUAUGCGUAGAUAUCGGGAGGAACACCAGUGGCGAAGGCGGCUUUCUGGGCCUUACCUGACGCUGAGACGCGAAAGCGUGGGGAGCGAACCGG
Molecule: ribosomal RNA, 253 nt
Filed under: uncultured bacterium
Lineage: Bacteria
Description: partial 16S ribosomal RNA
Rfam family: Bacterial small subunit ribosomal RNA
Source: RNAcentral